GAUCGUCGUCUCCGGUGAGGCGGCUGGACUUCAAAUCCAGUUGGGGCCGCCAGCGGUCCCGGGCAGGUUCGACUCCUGUGAUCGCCA
This 87-nucleotide transfer RNA is filed under the name Escherichia coli. RNAcentral's name for it is "Selenocysteine transfer RNA". It matches the Rfam family "Selenocysteine transfer RNA". Lineage: Bacteria; Pseudomonadati; Pseudomonadota; Gammaproteobacteria; Enterobacterales; Enterobacteriaceae. The record is from Rfam by way of RNAcentral.